UGGCGGCAGCUUAACCAUGCAAGUCGCACGAGAACGCUCCUUCGGGAGCAAGUAAAGUGGCGGACUUGUGCGUAACGCGUAGACAACCUGCCCUUGAGCGGAGGAUAACCACGGGAAACUAUGGCUAAUACUCCAUAAUGUCCGGAGCCCGCAUGGGGUCCGGAUCAAAGCCUUCGGGUGCUCAGGGAUGGGUCUGCGUCGGAUUAGCUCGUUGGUGAGGUAACAGCUCACCAAGGCAACAAUCCGUAGCUGGUCUGAGAGGAUGAUCAGCCACACUGGCACUGAGACACGGGCCAGACUCCUACGGGAGGCAGCAGUGGGGAAUCUUAGGCAAUGGGGGAAACCCUGACCUAGCCAUGCCGCGUGGAGGAAGACACCCCUACGGGGCGUAAACUCCUUUUCUGCCGGAAGAAAACCCUGUUUUGCAGGGCGUGACGGUACGGCAGGAAUAAGCACCGGCUAACUCCGUGCCAGCAGCCGCGGUAAUACGGAGGGUGCAAGCGUUGUCCGGAAUCACUGGGCGUAAAGGGUGUGCAGGUGGGACCGCAAGUCAGGGGUGAAAGCCCACAGCUUAACUGUGGAAGUGCCCUUGAAACUGCUGUUCUUGAGUCCUGGAGAGGUUGCCGGAAUUCGUGGUGUAGCGGUGAAAUGCGUAGAUAUCACGAGGAACACCAGAGGCGUAAGCGGGCAACUGGACAGGUACUGACACUGAGGCACGAGAGCGUGGGGAGCAAACAGGAUUAGAUACCCUGGUAGUCCACGCCGUAAACGAUGAAUGCUCGCCGUUGUCCUGUUAGGGGACAGUGGCUAAGCUAACGCGUUAAGCAUUCCGCCUGGGGAGUACGACCGCAAGGUUGAAACUCAAAGGAAUUGACGGGGGGCCGCACAAGCGGUGGAGCAUGUGGCUUAAUCGAUGCAACGCGAAAAACCUACCUAGGCUCGAA
RNAcentral lists this ribosomal RNA (944 nucleotides) under uncultured Salinibacter sp. RNAcentral's name for it is "bacterial SSU rRNA". It matches the Rfam family "Bacterial small subunit ribosomal RNA", at positions 37 to 985 of the family's 1533-position model. The record is from RNAcentral. Lineage: Bacteria; Pseudomonadati; Rhodothermota; Rhodothermia; Rhodothermales; Salinibacteraceae.